RNAcentral lists this ribosomal RNA (1142 nucleotides) under bioreactor metagenome. RNAcentral describes it as "bacterial LSU rRNA". It matches the Rfam family "Bacterial large subunit ribosomal RNA", at positions 1681 to 2815 of the family's 2925-position model. The record is from RNAcentral.
CUCAGGCGCUUGAGAGAACUCAGGAGAAGGAACUCGGCAAAUUGACACCGUAACUUCGGAAGAAGGUGUGCCCCUAGUAGGUGAACGUGUACAACGGGAGCCCAAUGGGGUCGCAGAGAAUCGGUGGCUGCGACUGUUUAAUAAAAACACAGCACUCUGCAAAGACGACGAGUCGACGUAUAGGGUGUGACGCCUGCCCGGUGCCGGAAGGUUAAGUGAUGGGGUGCAAGCUCUUGAUCGAAGCCCCGGUAAACGGCGGCCGUAACUAUAACGGUCCUAAGGUAGCGAAAUUCCUUGUCGGGUAAGUUCCGACCUGCACGAAUGGCGUAACGAUGGCCACACUGUCUCCUCCUGAGACUCAGCGAAGUUGAAGUGUUUGUGAAGAUGCAAUCUCCCCGCUGCUAGACGGAAAGACCCCAUGCACCUUUACUGUAGCUUUGCAUUGGACUGUGAUGAGGUUUGUGUAGGAUAGCUGGGAGGCUUUGAAGUGGGGGCGCCAGCUCUCAUGGAGCCAACGUUGAAAUACCAGCCUGACGUCAUUGCGGUUCUAACCUUGGUCCGUGAUCCGGAUCGGGGACCGUGCAUGGCAGGCAGUUUGACUGGGGCGGUCUCCUCCCAAAGAGUAACGGAGGAGCUCGAAGGUUCGCUUAGCGCGGUCGGACAUCGCGCUUCAAUGUGUAAGGGCACAAGCGAGCUUGACUGCGAGACUGACAAGUCGAGCAGGUGCGAAAGCAGGACCUAGUGAUCCGGUGGUUCUGAAUGGAAGGGCCAUCGCUCAACGGACAAAAGGUACGCCGGGGAUAACAGGCUGAUACCGCCCAAGAGUUCAUAUCGACGGCGGUGUUUGGCACCUCGAUGUCGGCUCAUCACAUCCUGGGGCUGUAGCCGGUCCCAAGGGUAUGGCUGUUCGCCAUUUAAAGUGGUACGUGAGCUGGGUUUAAAACGUCGUGAGACAGUUUGGUCCCUAUCUGCAGUGGGCGUUGGAGAUUUGACGGGGGCUGCUCCUAGUACGAGAGGACCGGAGUGGACGCACCGCUGGUGUACCGGUUGUGACGCCAGUCGCAUCGCCGGGUAGCUAUGUGCGGAAGUGAUAACCGCUGAAAGCAUCUAAGCGGGAAACACGCCUGAAGAUGAGAUCUCCC